GGAAGGAUCAUUACCGAGAUUUUUUCAUGGACUUGUUUUAUGAAAUCUCCCACCCUUUGUGUUACCAAAUAUUAUUACUUUGGUGAAGCGUGUCUUGUUUUUCCCUCUCUUGGGGGAAAAAGAAAACCCAUCGGCUCUUUAUUGAGUGGGUGUGUUCUUCACCAAAGGAACCAUUAACUCUUUUUAUAUCAAUUGUCUGAGUUUAUAUUUUAAAUAAACAAAACUUUCAACAACGGAUCUCUUGGUUCUGGCAUCGAUGAAGAACGCAGCGAAAUGCGAUAAGUAAUGUGAAUUGCAGAAUUCAGCGAAUCAUCGAAUUUUUGAACGCACAUUGCGCCUGAGAGUAUUCUUUCAGGCAUACCUGUUCGAGCGUCGUUUAGACCAUAAGGCUUUGCCUUGCGUUGAAAUGCUGGAGUGAUCCAGCUUUCUAAACCUGUUGGCGUCGUAGUUUGACCAAGACACAGCACAAUGUGACACUGGAUAUCAAUACUAGAACGACAGCUCAUCACCCACGACUUGUUUUUCGCAAGAAAAACGUAGGUUCGACCUCGGAUCAGGUAAGACUACCCACUGAACUUAAGCAUAUCAAUAAGUGGAGGAAAAGAAACCAACAGGGAUUGCCUCAGUAACGGCGAGUGAAGCGGCAAAAGCUCAAAUUUGAAAUCUGGUCCUAGACCCGAGUUGUAAUUUGUAGAGGAAUGUUCGGCGACGCCUAGGUCUGAGUCUUCUGGAAGGAAGCGCCUUUGAGGGUGAGAGCCCCGUAGGACUGAUGGCUGAACCAUGUGUACAUCCUUCGACGAGUCGAGUUGUUUGGGAAUGCAGCUCAAAACGGGUGGUAAAUUCCAUCUAAAGCUAAAUAUUGGCCAGAGACCGAUAGCGCACAAGUAGAGUGAUCGAAAGAUGAAAAGCACUUUGGAAAGAGAGUGAAACAGUACGUGAAAUUGUUGAAAGGGAAGCGCUAGCGACCAGAUUUGGAAAUGACGUUCAGCGGUUCGCGUGGACCGUGUACUUCGUCUUUUACUUGCCAGCAUCAGUUUUCGGGGUUGGAUAAAAGCUUUGGGAACGUAGCUCUGCUUCGGUCGAGUGUUAUAGCCCUUUGCACAAUACAGCCACUGAAGACUGAGGAACGCCUUUUUGUAGGAUGCUGGCGUAAUGGUUGCUAGCGGCCCGUCUUGAAACACGGACCAAGGAGUCUAACAUCCGUGCGAGUGUUUGGGUGUCAAACCCGCUCGCGAAAUGAAAGUGAACGUUGGUGAGAGUCUGUAAAAAGAUGCAUCAUCGACCGAUCCUGAUGUCCUCGGAAGGAUUUGAGUAAGAGCACGGCUGUUGGGACCCGAAAGAUGGUGAACUAUGCGUGAAUAGGGCGAAGCCAGAGGAAACUCUGGUGGAGGCUCGCAGCGGUUCUGACGUGCAAAUCGAUCGUCGAAUUUGCGUAUAGGGGCGAAAGACUUAUCGAACCAUCUAGUAGCUGGUUCCUGC
Molecule: unclassified non-coding RNA, 1479 nt
Filed under: uncultured fungus
Lineage: Eukaryota; Fungi
Description: sequence contains 18S rRNA gene, ITS1, 5.8S rRNA gene, ITS2, 28S rRNA gene
Rfam family: Eukaryotic large subunit ribosomal RNA (bases 544-1479)
Source: RNAcentral